This 430-nucleotide ribosomal RNA is filed under the name uncultured bacterium. RNAcentral describes it as "partial 16S ribosomal RNA". It matches the Rfam family "Bacterial small subunit ribosomal RNA", at positions 29 to 507 of the family's 1533-position model. The record is from RNAcentral.
AACGAACGCUGGCGGCAGGCCUAACACAUGCAAGUCGAGCGCCCUUUCGGGGGAGCGGCGGACGGGUGAGUAACGCGUGGGAAUAUGCUCUUCUCUACGGAAUAGCCUCGGGAAACUGAGAGUAAUACCGUAUACGCCCUGGGGGGGAAAGAUUUAUCGGGGAAGGAUUAGCCCGCGUUGGAUUAGGUAGUUGGUGGGAUAAUGGCCUACCAAGCCGACGAUCCAUAGCUGGUUUGAGAGGAUGAUCAGCCACACUGGGACUGAGACACGGCCCAGACUCCGACGGGAGGCAGAAGUGGGGAAUCUUAAACAAUGGGGGCAACCUGAUCUAGCCAUGCCGCGUGAGUAAUGAAGGCCUUAGGGUUGUAAAGCUCUUUCAGCUGGGAAGCUAAUGACGGUACCAGCAGAAGAAGCCCCGGCUAACUCCGUG